UACGUAGGGUGCGAGCGUUGUCCGGAAUUACUGGGCGUAAAGAGCUCGUAGGUGGUUUGUCGCGUUGUCCGUGAAAACUCACAACUCAAUUGUGGGCGUGCGGGCGAUACGGGCAGACUGGAGUACUGCAGGGGAGACUGGAAUUCCUGGUGUAGCGGUGGAAAUGCGCAGAUAUCAGGAGGAACACCGGUGGCGAAGGCGGGUCUCUGGGCCAAGUGAACGCGUGAGGAGCGAAAGCGUGGGGAGCAACAGG
RNAcentral lists this ribosomal RNA (253 nucleotides) under uncultured bacterium. Its description in RNAcentral is "partial 16S ribosomal RNA". It matches the Rfam family "Bacterial small subunit ribosomal RNA", at positions 524 to 775 of the family's 1533-position model. The record is from RNAcentral.